CAGUCCCGUCCGUCUCCUCUGCACCCAACCGUCCGCCUCCUUACCGCGCGUCGCCCCCGGCAGCCUGCCGCACCCCGCCCCCGGCCGUCGUUCCCCGCCGGCCGCCGCCCCCAAUCUCCCUUUCUUCGCACGCACGCGCACGCAGGCUGUUCGUAGGAACCCAUCCUUCGCACGAGCACGCAGGCUGUUCGAUUGAUCAUCUUGCUUUGCAGGGCGACAGGUUCAUCCCGGAGCGGUCGGCGAUGGACAUGGACUUUGCGCAUUACCUGCUGACGGAGCCGAGGAAGGGCAAGGAGAACCCGGCGGCGGCGGUGUCCCUGGCCAAGGAGGCGUACCGGAAGCUGCUGGUCGAGAAGCUGCUCAACAACCGCACCAGGAUACUCGCCUUCCGGAACAAGCCGCCAGAGCCUCAGAACAUGCUCACGGAUCUCCGUUCUGAUGUGGUCCAAGCCAAGCCGGCGAAGCAGCGCCGACACAUUCCUGGAUGAUGGUUGCGGUUGAAGUGUGAAUCCAUGAUGGUUACUGACUGAAUGUGCCUUGUCAAUUCACGCAGUCUUCAGAGAGGACUCUGGAUGCGCCAGAGCUCGCUGACGAUUACUACCUCAACCUGCUAGAUUGGGGAAGCAGCAAUGUGCUGUCCAUUGCGCUAGGCAGCACGGUGUACCUCUGGGAUGCCUCCAGUGGGUCUACUUCUGAGCUUGUUACCGUUGAUGAGGACUUUGGUCCCGGCACAAGCGUUAGCUGGGCUCCUGAUGGCCGGCACAUUGCUGUAGGCCUGAACUCCUCUGAUGUCCAGCGUUUUGACACUACCUCGAACCGACUGCUGAGGGCACUGCGAGGUGUGCAUGAGUUGAGGGUCGGUUCUCUGGCAUGGAACAACAGCAUCUUGACAACUGGUGGCAUGGACGGCAAGAUCAUGAACAAUGAUGUGAGGAUCAGGAACAGUAUUGUGCAUAGGAUAGGUGAUGUUUUGGUUAGUGCGAGAGUAGGAUAGAGUAAUGUUGAGGGAUGGCAUCAUUGUAUAAACUUUUUGAUGGAUAUUGUUCUAUUUAUGUGGACCAAUCACUUCAAUGGAAGAACAUAUAAAAUUUAACUUUUUUUUC
This is a long non-coding RNA of Setaria italica (foxtail millet), 1103 nucleotides long. RefSeq lists it as uncharacterized. The record is from RefSeq and is a predicted model, not a curated record. Lineage: Eukaryota; Viridiplantae; Streptophyta; Magnoliopsida; Poales; Poaceae. The transcript is spliced from 2 exons.